AAACCAUGCAUUGGGCAUUUUCUUAGUAGCUCAUUGAACCGCUCCUAUGCUUCAUAUAAAUUUUCAUCCUCUUGUUGUCUAAACGAUGUAAUGUUGCUCCUCAACUU
This is a non-coding RNA of Gossypium raimondii (Peruvian cotton), 107 nucleotides long. NCBI's taxonomy places the organism in Eukaryota, Viridiplantae, Streptophyta, Magnoliopsida, Malvales, Malvaceae. The record is from Rfam.